AGUGAACGCUGGCGGUAGGCCUAACACAUGCAAGUCGAACGGCAGCACAGUAAGAGCUUGCUCUUACGGGUGGCGAGUGGCGGACGGGUGAGGAAUACAUCGGAAUCUACUUUUUCGUGGGGGAUAACGUAGGGAAACUUACGCUAAUACCGCAUACGACCUACGGGUGAAAGCAGGGGAUCUUCGGACCUUGCGCGAUUGAAUGAGCCGAUGUCGGAUUAGCUAGUUGGCGGGGUAAAGGCCCACCAAGGCGACGAUCCGUAGCUGGUCUGAGAGGAGGGUCGGCCACACUGGAACUGAGACACGGUCCAGACUCCUACGGGAGGCAGCAGUGGGGAAUAGUGGGCAAUGGGCGCAAGCCUGAUCCAGCCAUACCGCGUGGGUGAAGGAGGCCUUCGGGUUGUGAAGCCCUUUUGUUGGGAAAGAAAAGCAGCAGGUUAAUACCCCGCUGUUCUGACGGUACCCAAAGAAUAAGCACCGGCUAACUUCGUG
This 492-nucleotide ribosomal RNA is filed under the name uncultured bacterium. RNAcentral's name for it is "partial 16S ribosomal RNA". It matches the Rfam family "Bacterial small subunit ribosomal RNA", at positions 29 to 507 of the family's 1533-position model. The record is from RNAcentral.